GAUUAAGUUAUUAAGGGCGCACGGUGGAUGCCUUGGCACUAGAAGCCGAUGAAGGACGUUACUAACGACGAUAUGCUUUGGGGAGCUGUAAGUAAGCUUUGAUCCAGAGAUUUCCGAAUGGGGAAACCCAGCAUGAGUUAUGUCAUGUUAUCGAUAUGUGAAUACAUAGCAUAUCAGAAGGCACACCCGGAGAACUGAAACAUCUUAGUACCCGGAGGAAGAGAAAGAAAAUUCGAUUCCCUUAGUAGCGGCGAGCGAAACGGGAAGAGCCCAAACCAACAAGCUUGCUUGUUGGGGUUGUAGGACACUCUAUACGGAGUUACAAAGGACGACAUUAGACGAAUCAUCUGGAAAGAUGAAUCAAAGAAGGUAAUAAUCCUGUAGUCGAAAAUGUUGUCUCUCUUGAGUGGAUCCUGAGUACGACGGAGCACGUGAAAUUCCGUCGGAAUUUGGGAGGACCAUCUCCUAAGGCUAAAUACUCUCUAGUGACCGAUAGCGAACCAGUACCGUGAGGGAAAGGUGAAAAGCACCCCGGAAGGGGAGUGAAAUAGAACCUGAAACCGUGUGCUUACAAGUAGUCAGAGCCCGUUAAUGGGUGAUGGCGUGCCUUUUGUAGAAUGAACCGGCGAGUUACGAUUUGAUGCAAGGUUAAGCAGUAAAUGUGGAGCCGUAGCGAAAGCGAGUCUGAAUAGGGCGUUUAGUAUUUGGUCGUAGACCCGAAACCAGGUGAUCUACCCUUGGUCAGGUUGAAGUUCAGGUAACACUGAAUGGAGGACCGAACCGACUUACGUUGAAAAGUGAGCGGAUGAACUGAGGGUAGCGGAGAAAUUCCAAUCGAACCUGGAGAUAGCUGGUUCUCUCCGAAAUAGCUUUAGGGCUAGCCUCAAGUGAUGAUUAUUGGAGGUAGAGCACUGUUUGGACGAGGGGCCCCUCUCGGGUUACCGAAUUCAGACAAACUCCGAAUGCCAAUUAAUUUAACUUGGGAGUCAGAACAUGGGUGAUAAGGUCCGUGUUCGAAAGGGAAACAGCCCAGACCACCAGCUAAGGUCCCAAAAUAUAUGUUAAGUGGAAAAGGAUGUGGCGUUGCCCAGACAACUAGGAUGUUGGCUUAGAAGCAGCCAUCAUUUAAAGAGUGCGUAAUAGCUCACUAGUCGAGUGACACUGCGCCGAAAAUGUACCGGGGCUAAACAUAUUACCGAAGCUGUGGAUUGUCCUUUGGACAAUGGUAGGAGAGCGUUCUAAGGGCGUUGAAGCAUGAUCGUAAGGACAUGUGGAGCGCUUAGAAGUGAGAAUGCCGGUGUGAGUAGCGAAAGACGGGUGAGAAUCCCGUCCACCGAUUGACUAAGGUUUCCAGAGGAAGGCUCGUCCGCUCUGGGUUAGUCGGGUCCUAAGCUGAGGCCGACAGGCGUAGGCGAUGGAUAACAGGUUGAUAUUCCUGUACCACCUAUAAUCGUUUUAAUCGAUGGGGGGACGCAGUAGGAUAGGCGAAGCGUGCGAUUGGAUUGCACGUCUAAGCAGUAAGGCUGAGUAUUAGGCAAAUCCGGUACUCAUUAAGGCUGAGCUGUGAUGGGGAGAAGACAUUGUGUCUUCGAGUCGUUGAUUUCACACUGCCGAGAAAAGCCUCUAGAUAGAAAAUAGGUGCCCGUACCGCAAACCGACACAGGUAGUCAAGAUGAGAAUUCUAAGGUGAGCGAGCGAACUCUCGUUAAGGAACUCGGCAAAAUGACCCCGUAACUUCGGGAGAAGGGGUGCUCUUUAGGGUUAACGCCCAGAAGAGCCGCAGUGAAUAGGCCCAAGCGACUGUUUAUCAAAAACACAGGUCUCUGCUAAACCGUAAGGUGAUGUAUAGGGGCUGACGCCUGCCCGGUGCUGGAAGGUUAAGAGGAGUGGUUAGCUUCUGCGAAGCUACGAAUCGAAGCCCCAGUAAACGGCGGCCGUAACUAUAACGGUCCUAAGGUAGCGAAAUUCCUUGUCGGGUAAGUUCCGACCCGCACGAAAGGCGUAACGAUUUGGGCACUGUCUCAACGAGAGACUCGGUGAAAUCAUAGUACCUGUGAAGAUGCAGGUUACCCGCGACAGGACGGAAAGACCCCGUGGAGCUUUACUGUAGCCUGAUAUUGAAAUUCGGCACAGCUUGUACAGGAUAGGUAGGAGCCUUUGAAACGUGAGCGCUAGCUUACGUGGAGGCGCUGGUGGGAUACUACCCUAGCUGUGUUGGCUUUCUAACCCGCACCACUUAUCGUGGUGGGAGACAGUGUCAGGCGGGCAGUUUGACUGGGGCGGUCGCCUCCUAAAAGGUAACGGAGGCGCUCAAAGGUUCCCUCAGAAUGGUUGGAAAUCAUUCAUAGAGUGUAAAGGCAUAAGGGAGCUUGACUGCGAGACCUACAAGUCGAGCAGGGUCGAAAGACGGACUUAGUGAUCCGGUGGUUCCGCAUGGAAGGGCCAUCGCUCAACGGAUAAAAGCUACCCCGGGGAUAACAGGCUUAUCUCCCCCAAGAGUUCACAUCGACGGGGAGGUUUGGCACCUCGAUGUCGGCUCAUCGCAUCCUGGGGCUGUAGUCGGUCCCAAGGGUUGGGCUGUUCGCCCAUUAAAGCGGUACGCGAGCUGGGUUCAGAACGUCGUGAGACAGUUCGGUCCCUAUCCGUCGUGGGCGUAGGAAAUUUGAGAGGAGCUGUCCUUAGUACGAGAGGACCGGGAUGGACAUACCUCUGGUGUACCAGUUGUCGUGCCAACGGCAUAGCUGGGUAGCUAUGUGUGGACGGGAUAAGUGCUGAAAGCAUCUAAGCAUGAAGCCCCCCUCAAGAUGAGAUUUCCCAACUUCGGUUAUAAGAUCCCUCAAAGAUGAUGAGGUUAAUAGGUUCGAGGUGGAAGCAUGGUGACAUGUGGAGCUGACGAAUACUAAUCGAUCGAAGACUUAAUCAA
This 2923-nucleotide ribosomal RNA is filed under the name Staphylococcus aureus. Its description in RNAcentral is "23S ribosomal RNA". It matches the Rfam family "Bacterial large subunit ribosomal RNA". Lineage: Bacteria; Bacillati; Bacillota; Bacilli; Caryophanales; Staphylococcaceae. The record is from RNAcentral.